Long non-coding RNA from Carya illinoinensis, 3119 nucleotides. RefSeq lists it as uncharacterized. The record is from RefSeq and is a predicted model, not a curated record. The transcript has 3 exons. NCBI's taxonomy places the organism in Eukaryota, Viridiplantae, Streptophyta, Magnoliopsida, Fagales, Juglandaceae.
UGUUAGAUGCAUGUUAGGAACAUUGCAUCUUAUAUGUCAUGAACGGGGGCAGGUAACCUUGUGUUGCAUGUCUCGACGCUUCAAAUGUCCGUCCAAUCCCAAACGGAAUUUGAGGGCGUCACAGUUUGUUUAUCUUUUCGAAGGCUGGAUUUAACCAUGGGUGCUUGAAUCUCUUUAUAGAUUUCAUUGUUUAUCUUUUUGAAGGCUGGAUUUAACCAUGGGUGCUUGAAUCUCUUUAUAGAUUUUAUUGUUUAUCUUGUCGAAGGCUGGAUUUAACCAUGGGUGCUUGAAUCUCUUUAUAGAAGAAAAGGUUUUUCCAGUUUUUUCCUCUCGGUUUCUCUUUGCAGUCUUGAGGUUUUUCCUCUCAGUUUCUCUUUGUAGUCUGGGUUUGGUCUUUUGCAAGGCUCGGUUUUCUCUUUCUAUUUCACAAUUUUUUUUUGCAGAUUUUGCCCCUUGGUUUUUCUUUGCAGUCUGGGUUCGUUAAGAUUGGUUUUCCAUUGUCAGAUCUCUUUAGAUCUGUUUCUUUCUCAAAAUCUGCAUAACCCCUAACCCUAACUCCCGAAAGCCUAACUGCUGAAACCCUAACCCUAACCCUAACCCUAACUCCCGAAACCCUAAUUCCUGAAACUCUAACCCUCCUGAAACCCUAACCCUAACCCAAAAUCUAACUGCCGAAACCCUAACUCGAACCCUAACCCUAACCCAAAAUUUAACUGCCGAAACCCUAACCCGAACCCGAACCCUAACCCUAACCCAAAAUCUAACUGCCGAAACCCUAACCCUAACUCCCGAACCCUAACCCUAACCCUAACUCUAGAAACCCUAACUCCCGAAACCCUAACCCGAGAAACCCAAUUUUUGGAGUUGGGGUUUGGGCACUGGGCAAUUAUCGAGAGAACCCACUCAAGUUUCGUCUGCAGGUUAUUAAUUAUGAAGAGAAUUGGGAAUGAAUGCAGUUGAAAGUGACCAACCGAAGUGGAGUUUGAUUGCCUAUUCUGCUUAAGUUGUUAAUUCCUAGAUCAAUUUCCAGAAUGGUUGGAUUAUUCUGUUUAUGAAGUAUUUAGCUAUCAAUCAUUUUAAAUGUUAUGAAUCAGUUAUUAUGUGCAUGAUAUUGUGUUUACUUGUUCUGUUUAGGAAGUAUUUAGCUAUCAAUGUGUUUGAAUGUUAUGAAUCAGUUAUUAUGUGCAUGAUAUUGUCUGUUUGUAAUCAACCCGAGUGUUCUGUUUAUAGUGUCUUUAUGUAGACUUCAUCCUAAUUAAAUGUGAGCAAACAAUGUGAUUUUGUGUAAAUGUGACCUCUGUAUUAUGAUUUUACCUAUUCUGUUUAGGAAGUAUUUAGCUAUCAAUGUGUUUGAAUGUUAUGAAUCAGUUAUUAUGUGCAUGAUAUUGUCUGUUUGUAAUCAACCCGAGUGUUCUGUUUACAGUGUCUUUAUGUAGACUUCAUCCUAAUUAAAUGUGAGCCAACAAUGUGAUUUUGUGUAAAUGUGACCUCUGUAUUAUGAUUUUACCUAUUCUGUUUAGGAAGUAUUUAGCUAUCAAUGUGUUUGAAUGUUAUGAAUCAGUUAUUAUGUGCAUGAUAUUGUCUGUUUGUAAUCAACCCGAGUGUUCUGUUUACAGUGUCUUUAUGUAGACUUCAUCCUAAUUAAAUGUGAGCAAACAAUGUGAUUUUGUGUAAAUGUGACCUCUGUAUUAUGAUUUUACCUAUUCUGUUUAGGAAGUAUUUAGCUAUCAAUGUGUUUGAAUGUUAUGAAUCAGUUAUUAUGUGCAUGAUAUUGUCUGUUUGUAAUCAACCCGAGUGUUCUGUUUACAGUGUCUUUAUGUAGACUUCAUCCUAAUUAAAUGUGAGCCAACAAUGUGAUUUUGUGUAAAUGUGACCUCUGUAUUAUGAUUUUACCUGUUCUGUUUAGGAAGUAUUUAGCUAUCAAUGUGUUUGAAUGUUAUGAAUCAGUUAUUAUGUGCAUGAUAUUGUCUGUUUGUAAUCAACCCGAGUGUUCUGUUUACAGUGUCUUUAUGUAGACUUCAUCCUAAUUAAAUGUGAGCCAACAAUGUGAUUUUGUGUAAAUGUGACCUCUGUAUUAUGAUUUUACCUGUUCUGUUUAGGAAGUAUUUAGCUAUCAAUGUGUUUGAAUGUUAUGAAUCAGUUAUUAUGUGCAUGAUAUUGUCUGUUUGUAAUCAACCCGAGUGUUCUGUUUACAGUGUCUUUAUGUAGACUUCAUCCUAAUUAAAUGUGAGCCAACAAUGUGAUUUUGUGUAAAUGUGACCUCUGUAUUAUGAUUUUACUUGUUCUGUUUAGGAAGUAUUUAGCUAUCAAUGUGUUUGAAUGUUAUGAAUCAGUUAUUAUGUGCAUGAUAUUGUCUGUUUGUAAUCAACCCGAUUGUUUCAAUGUUAGAAUGUCAUCACCCUCAACUUCUUCCACAUCCUUUGGUAAACGUACUGUGAGCCAACCUUUAUGCUUCUGUGAGGUUGAGGCGACAUUGAGAUACUCAAAUACUCCCAGAAAUCCAGGACGUCCCUUCUUUGGCUGUCCAAAGUACAACAAUUAGGGCUUACCAUUUUGCAAGUUCUUUAAGUGGGUGGAUGGUACUUUGGACAUAGAGCAAGAACUUCACCAAAUUAAAAUCGAACUAUUAAGGAAGGAUGAAGAGCUAAAAAGGAUACUCGACGAUUUUCAACAGAGGGAGAUUAAGUUUCGGAAGAGAGCUGAUGCGAUUGAGAAAAUGUUAUCCAAUAUACUUGAGGAGGUUCAGAAGAAGGACUUGGUGCUUUUAAAGCAAGAAGCUGAAAAUAGGGGUUCACGCACACUACUCCAUCUGUAUUGGGUUGUUGCCAUUGUUGUAUCAUGUUACAUUUUGCUGUCUAACCAAGCUCAGAAUUGAUUUCUCUUAAGUUAUUGUAAAUAUGUAGUUUAAGUUACUCUGAUCUGCCAAGUUAUUUUGUGGUUUGUGAUGGUCGAUGUAAAGAAGAACUGGGAAGCCAUGUUUCCCAAUAACUUGAUGUAAUUUUAUUUUGUGGUUUCUGAUGGUGGAUGUUACUCUGAACUGGGAAGCAAACUUUCAGAAGUGUUGUCAAACCAUUUUGUGUAUUCUGUGAGUGGUUGUAAUUUGAAGUUGGAUUGUAAUC